This 579-nucleotide small RNA is filed under the name Oryza sativa Japonica Group (Japanese rice). RNAcentral describes it as "sRNA Os05g0195101". The record is from RNAcentral. Lineage: Eukaryota; Viridiplantae; Streptophyta; Magnoliopsida; Poales; Poaceae.
AUUUGUUUUGGGGUUUUUCUCAGUUCAGUUCAGUUCAGUCCAGAUGGUGGUGGCCAUGGCUGCAGCUGCAGUACAAGAAGAAGAAGAUCAGAAAUGGAUCAAGAUAUGUGGUUAAAUCUUGUUUUGUACAUAGUGUGUGUGUCAAGUGUGUAUUUUUACUUGAGAUCUUGUGGAGAGAUGAAGCAUGCAUAGAGCAUGAUCUGAUGAUCUGAUCACAACAACGGCGAUGAUGAAGAUGAAGAACAAGAAGGUGGUGGUUUGGCCGGAUUCUGCGCCAGUUUCUGCGAUUCCAGAACGUCGUCAUGAUGAUUAUUAUUGUUAUUGCUGUUAAUUAAGUCUGAAGAAUUUAAGCUCGUUUUCGUCGGAUGGUAUAGCCAGCCGAUGGUUCAGCUAGCACCUCCAUUAUUAUUAUCACUAUUGUUCCUCUUUUUUUUUUGUUCAUUUUGUUUCUCAUCAAGAUGGGAUCGAUCCGGCGACAUAUUAUUGCUCUGUAUUUUGAUCAUCAAUGUUAUUGUUGUUUACCUACUGAUCUAGUAGCUCACAAAUUAGUACCAUUAUUAUAUUGUGGUACUUUUUACU